ACAUCAUAGCUGGGGAACAGGGAUUCACAAGACCCAGGCUGUUCCCUACAUAUUUUUCCUCCUCAGACAUCAGUUCAUCAGUCAAUCAAGUCAUGUGAGAGUGGAGGCCAUGUAUUCCGUAUUCUUGGGCACUCUCCUCCAAGGAGGAAAAGGCCAGGAGGUCCUGUUAGAGGAUGCACUC
Molecule: long non-coding RNA, 181 nt
Filed under: Pongo abelii (Sumatran orangutan)
Lineage: Eukaryota; Metazoa; Chordata; Mammalia; Primates; Hominidae
Description: lincRNA
Source: RNAcentral